This 342-nucleotide ribosomal RNA is filed under the name Triticum aestivum (bread wheat). RNAcentral's name for it is "partial small subunit ribosomal RNA". Lineage: Eukaryota; Viridiplantae; Streptophyta; Magnoliopsida; Poales; Poaceae. The record is from RNAcentral.
AUGGCACUGUUGGAUGAACUUCACGUGUCAAUGCCUCUGCGAAAAUGGUUUUGUGUAGUUUUGUAUUUUAGUGCAAGCACUCUCAACUCCUUGAAACCGCCCCACGCCCAGCUGAUGUGUUUAAGUGUCUUGCCAGUUUGCUUUGGCCUACAGAAGCUACUACUAUUUGUGUCUACAUCAGAACUCAGGUGUCUGGAGAAAAAUGCCUGUUGCAUCACAUUUGUUUGUGUUUAUCCUCUGAAAAAACUGGCCAUUGUUGCCGGCUUCGCAAGAUGCGUCAGUUCAGCUGCAAAAAAACGAGCAUUAUAUACCGUCGUCAAGCUCGCUCACUUGUUGGAAUGA